AUGCGUUCUGAAAUAUAUUGACACCCUUCCACCACCUUCUGAACUUGACAAAAAAGGAUUCUUUGUCACUCCCCUUGUAAGAUACAGCCUGUUUGAGCUUCUUGUAGAAGAAUGUAUUGAAAAAGUGAUAAUCACAUAUAGCCUUGUUUGUUGGGGAGAUUUGCAGCCGUAAAUACCUGAUGUAAAAGUUCAUGAUCGGUGAUGUCAAAAAACCUUCAGGGUCUAGGCAGUUUAUAUCCGAGUAACAAAUUUCUACAGAUUCUUGAUCAUCCCUUGAUGGGUAGUAGAUCUUAGCAUCCUUCAUGCAUUCAGCAUGUUUGUUUUCAGGCUCUAUUGUCUCUACAAGUUGGGUUUCAUCCUCAUCUACAAGAACAACUGUCUUCCCUUUCCUAGGCACUGAGCCAUUUGAAGGUAGGACUUGACAAGUAUCCUUCUUCUUGGAAAAAUUGCUGGAAAAGCUUUCCCCAGUGUGGCUGAAGGAAGAAGUAGAAGAAGCUCUGUCCUUUCGAUCACCGUUAUAUGUAACAUGUUUAUCUCCAUUAUGUGAAGGGCUGUUAUUGUAUUGAAAAGGCAAUUUUUUUGAUGAUGAAUGACCUUUUUUUCUCCAACUUUGUGAUAAGGCUCCAUCAGUUCUCGUUUUCUGGCUGUUGCAUCGACUCAAAGUUGACAAUUCUUCAUCAUCAAAUGCUUUGACUAUCUUGCAAUCUGUAUUUUCUUUCGUCUUUCUACUAAAAGUAAUGGCAACUUCAGAUUGUGAAUGUACUUCAGAUAAUCCAUUCUUUUGUUUAAAGCCAUC
This 796-nucleotide unclassified non-coding RNA is filed under the name Hevea brasiliensis (rubber tree). Lineage: Eukaryota; Viridiplantae; Streptophyta; Magnoliopsida; Malpighiales; Euphorbiaceae. The record is from RNAcentral.